This 1347-nucleotide long non-coding RNA is filed under the name Homo sapiens (human). RNAcentral describes it as "HSALNT0261577". Lineage: Eukaryota; Metazoa; Chordata; Mammalia; Primates; Hominidae. The record is from RNAcentral.
GAAAAUUUAAAUUGGGCUCCAGAGAAGAGACAUUGAGACUGAUACUUCCAGCACUGAGGAUCUACCUCUAGGUUGAAGUCUAGCUCAGAACUUGGCCUCCGGCCUGGGCACUGCCUCAUACCUGCCAGAAUUGAUCUCAAUGGAGCUGCACAAUGAGAGGUUUUGCAUGUUGUCUAGAGGACUUUGGUUGAGUUCAGAGCUGAGCACACUUGCCUUCAGACUCUCCUGGGACUCCCAGUUCUCAUCCAUAUGAGCAAGGGCUUCAUGUUACUGGCCGUGGCCCUGUGCUGAGUCCUCCUCCCGCCCAUGGCCCUCUCCUCCUGGCCAGUGGUCCUCCGCCUGAACAUGGCCGACUUUGUCUUCAGUUUCCUCUGCCUCGGCAUUGGGCUCCUGAUUUCUCUUCAGCCUGACGCUCUUUUCAGUUAACGGCAAGGCGGUGCACCCAAGUCCGGUGGUGUCCUACCUGGUGACCUCCUACCUGUGCUGGGACGCCAGCGACUUGAUGCUGCACUCCGGAGCCGUGUCCUACCUAAGCCCAGUGGGCAUGUGAAGCAGAGGGCAGCCCUUGAAUGCGCGGCGGCUGAGCUACCGCGGGUGGGCCGUGCAGCAGGGCGCAGCGAGGCGGACAUCCAAACAGCGGAACUCAGACGCUGACUCCGAGCGCACCCCGGGCCUUCCCAUUUCAUACACCCUCGAGGAUGAGACCCAAGCACCUCCAAGGAAUAGCACCCGAGGUCUUCAGGACACCGACCGGUAGCCAUGGCCAGAUGCCCGGCCAACCCCUUCAGCGUGGCCACGCCCUGGAUAUUCGACCUCCCCUGAGGCCCCACCCCCUGAUAUCAGGCCACGCCCUCCGAGGGGACCGGUGGCAAACUCCAGCCCUCGCUCUAGGGCCCGCCCUUUGCGGCUUUGUCCCUGCCCACUGGGUCCUCACAGUACCUCCACCCCAGAGGCCCAGCAUCCCCUCCCGUUCUGCAGACACUUGUCCAGCGUCCCGCUGAGCUCGGCAGUGUGGCUAGUUUGUGUGGCCCUGCCCCUGGUGCCCAGCCAGGGUGGUCUGCAUGGAACUUCUUUCCCGGAGUUCCGGCCUCAGCUCCGAUGUCCACCCUUGUCCCCAGGUGGACACAGCACCGCCCAGCAUUUGGUGCAACUCCACCCUUCUGCAGAACGGGCCCCUCCCUGGGAAGGCAUGGCUUGCAAUAACAUCCCUCUGUACCUUUUCUGGCUUCCCCGCCACAAUAAAACCUCUCAGCCUCAGACCUUCCAUUGCCCCCCACCUCCCCACCAGGGCAGGGUCCAUCCUAGUGUGAGUGAACUGUUCUGGCGUCCCUGACUUGCCCUUUGGGA